RNAcentral lists this ribosomal RNA (375 nucleotides) under uncultured Fusibacter sp. RNAcentral describes it as "bacterial SSU rRNA". It matches the Rfam family "Bacterial small subunit ribosomal RNA", at positions 1006 to 1382 of the family's 1533-position model. Lineage: Bacteria; Bacillati; Bacillota; Clostridia; Eubacteriales; Fusibacteraceae. The record is from RNAcentral.
AUUUUGUCCUUCGGGUUACGAAUUAGAGACAGGUGGUGCAUGGUUGUCGUCAGCUCGUGUCGUGAGAUGUGGGUUAAGUCCCGCAACGAGCGCAACCUUGUGUUUAGUUGCAAACAGGUCAAGCUGUGCACUCUAGACAGACUGCCGUGGACAACACGGAGGAAGGUGGGGAUGACGUCAAAUCAUCAUGCCCCUUAUGAUCUGGGCUACACACGUGCUACAAUGGCCGGUACAACGGGCAGCGAAGGAGCGAUCCGGAGCGAAUCCUAAAAAGCCGGUCCCAGUUCGGAUUGCAGGCUGAAACUCGCCUACAUGAAGUUGGAGUUGCUAGUAAUCGCGAAUCAGAAUGUCGCGGUGAAUGCGUUCCCGGGUCUU